This 317-nucleotide ribosomal RNA is filed under the name Columnea ericae. RNAcentral describes it as "partial 18S ribosomal RNA". The record is from RNAcentral. Lineage: Eukaryota; Viridiplantae; Streptophyta; Magnoliopsida; Lamiales; Gesneriaceae.
CGACGCUCAUCUCACGAGCACACUACGCAACCAAGACACCCGCAACUCGCCUCCAAAGUACCCCCCACACAACGAAGCAAAGGCGGUAACAUCUCCUCAAGAGCUAACGGCUGGCCAACGUCCCCCCAAAUACACUCAGUAUCUAGCGUGCGGCUAUGUCACCUCCUCAGUACUGCAACCGCACAGUACUCGCUGUCACACCUGUCGUCAACUCUCCCCUGCUUUGGUACCGGGCCUUCAACCUAUUGGCUCGGAUUUUUUUUUGGAAAAAAAAGAGAAUGCGAGUUUCGUAGGUGAACCUGCGGAAAGGAUCAUUG